AUUGGAAUAAUAUAUAAAACUCAAAUAUAUUAAAGUUUGUAAACCACCGAAAAUAAAUAUAAUGUUUAGUAAUGCAAAUGCAGUAAUGCAUCUAAUAAAAUAUACGAAAGUUAUGAACGACAUGUUUCGACGUGUCCCAAGUCAUCAUCAGGUAAUAACGCUUUGCUACUAACGGUUUAAAUACUACCGGUCAGAUGUAAGACGAAACAAGCAAAUAUUAAGAUCUAAUGAAAUUUCUUCGUGUUUACUUGUGUAUGGCUAACUACCGUCUAAAAUGAAGGCAUCUUUUAAAAUAAAGACAAACGAGAGAAUAUCAGCAGUAUUACAUUCAAGAUGACGAAGAAAACUCUGUGUUGUUACGGGGCCACAAAAAUCGCAUACCCAAAUCGGCCUCUUUGACCCCACUGAGGCCACGGAUGUUCUCUGAUUCUAAUAUUCUCAGCUGUCCUACUAAAUAUUUACCUGUCGGUUUCGGACUAUGAUAGUCUGGGCGCGGGCGUGGACCAGGACCAGAAGGAAUGCCUGGCAUUGAGCCCACGCCUGGACGCGAGCCUACACCUGGGCGCGAACCAACACCUGGCCG
Long non-coding RNA from Anneissia japonica, 583 nucleotides. RefSeq lists it as uncharacterized. The record is from RefSeq and is a predicted model, not a curated record. The transcript has 3 exons. NCBI's taxonomy places the organism in Eukaryota, Metazoa, Echinodermata, Crinoidea, Comatulida, Comatulidae.